This 253-nucleotide ribosomal RNA is filed under the name uncultured bacterium. RNAcentral describes it as "partial 16S ribosomal RNA". It matches the Rfam family "Bacterial small subunit ribosomal RNA", at positions 524 to 776 of the family's 1533-position model. The record is from RNAcentral.
UACGUAGGGGGCAAGCGUUAUCCGGAUUUACUGGGUGUAAAGGGAGCGUAGACGGCGAUGCAAGCCAGAUGUGAAAGCCCGGGGCUCAACCCCGGGACUGCAUUUGGAACUGUGUGGCUGGAGUGCCGGAGAGGCAGGCGGAAUUCCUAGUGUAGCGGUGAAAUGCGUAGAUAUUAGGAGGAACACCAGUGGCGAAGGCGGCCUGCUGGACGAUGACUGACGUUGAGGCUCGAAAGCGUGGGGAGCAAACAGG